CCUACGGGAGGCAGCAGUAGGGAAUAUUGCUCAAUGGGGGAAACCCUGAAGCAGCAACGCCGCGUGGAGGAUGAAGGUUUUCGGAUUGUAAACUCCUUUUGUUAGAGAAGAUAAUGACGGUAUCUAACGAAUAAGCACCGGGUCACUCCGUUCCAGCAGCCGCGGUAAUACGGAGGGUGCAAACGUUACUCGGAAUCACUGGGCGUAAAGGGCGCGUAGGCGGGAUAGCAAGUCAGAUGUGAAAUCCUAUGGCUUAACCAUAGAACUGCAUUUGAAACUGUUAUUCUAGAGUAUGGGAGAGGUAGGUGGAAUUCGUGGUGUAGCGGUAAAAUGCGUAGAGAUCAAGAGGAAUACCGAUUGCGAAGGCGACCUGCUAGAACAUAACUGACGCUGAUGCGCGAAAGCGUGGGGAGCAAACAGGAUUAGAUACCCUUGUAGUC
This 440-nucleotide ribosomal RNA is filed under the name uncultured bacterium. RNAcentral describes it as "partial 16S ribosomal RNA". It matches the Rfam family "Bacterial small subunit ribosomal RNA", at positions 338 to 795 of the family's 1533-position model. The record is from RNAcentral.